ACGGGGAGACGCGCCUGGGGCAGGGCUGGAGGAGAGCAGCGCUUAUCUGACCCCGGCUGCCCUCCCGCCCCAGGUGCCAGGCCCGAGUCACCAGGCUCCCCCAGCGGAGGGGCGGGUCUGAGCGGGGAGGCGACAGGGACCGGCUGGGGUGCGCUGCUGCGACCCCGCCACUCUCCGGCCGCCUCUGACCCCAGCCCUCGGCCCAGUCCGCGAGCUAGCGCAGCAAAACAAAACAAACUCGCGCUGGUUUCCUGUUGUGCAACCCAGUCCUGAGUAAGUCCGGGCCGAAAGGGCGCCGCCGCCGGCCCGCGGCGGGGAGCCCGGGCGGCGGGGAGACCCGCGCGCUGCCCUUCCCGGCCGAGCUGGGACGCCCGGGCAGCCGCGGGCCCCGCCAGCCGCAGCCCCCACGGAACCGGUGCCCCAGCCCCCGGGUCUCCUUCCGCGUCUUUCCUCCCAAACAGCCCGGCGAGUCGAGGGCGCGACCCGCGAAGCCAGAAACAACCUUCUCCCAAAGCGUGUCCCUCCAGGUACCUAAUUGAAUCAUCCAUAGGAUGACAAAUCCGUCCGGGCCAAGUUUUCCAGACACUUGGGCAACUUCCUCGUCCCCGGGGUGAUUUGUCAGCUCCAGUGAGUAACUUGGAAGUGUCGCUCGGGGCAAGGGACGGGAGCCGUGAGCACGACAGAGUGCCCGAGACUGAGACAUUCUCCAAACAGUGCUGACAUUCUGUCGGCCCCAGAGAAGUGUAAACGCGGAGUGACGAAGCCUAAGCCGGCGGGGAGUGCGAGCGUCUGGGUACGUCUGCGCAUUCUGCGGCGUGGGAGGUGAUAGUUAUAGACCUGGCGGCUGCGGGUGGCGGGACCGUCCCAGCGACAAGCUCAAGGACCCCCAACCGAAGGGCCUUCUGGAGCAGUGGGGACCUGGUCUCGGGCGAGGUGCGAGCGUGCAAAAAAAUGCCCUUGGUGGAGCUUCACAAACACGUGGGAGCGGAAAAGGCAGCUUCAGCCCCGUGUGUGUGCGCGCGCGGGACCUCACGUCACCCCACCAACUCUCACUUCUCCAAAGUUUCCCUUCAGUGGGGACUCCUGGGUGGCGUGCAGGACCACAGCCGCGCGUCCUGUAACUUGCCUUCAUUGUGUGGCCCUCUGGCCCCUGCUGUUCAAAAGAAAAACCAAAAACAAAAUCUCCUCCUAAUUAAAGAAACUUUAAUACCUUGUGGA
Long non-coding RNA from Leopardus geoffroyi (Geoffroy's cat), 1218 nucleotides. RefSeq lists it as uncharacterized. NCBI's taxonomy places the organism in Eukaryota, Metazoa, Chordata, Mammalia, Carnivora, Felidae. The record is from RefSeq and is a predicted model, not a curated record. The transcript is spliced from 2 exons.